AGACAUGACGUGUUGUGGUGGUAGUAGUAAUAGUACUGCUACUUUGAAUACUCAUCAUGAGAUUGAUGUACCGCUUAACUCACCCAGAUCUGAAACUAAUGCGAAUAUUGCUGAUGAGUAUGAGAUUUUAGGAGAAAAGAAGCACACCCAUUUGAGUAAUGUCAUCCAAAGGGUGCAUUUGAGGAAAAAGUUGGAAUCUUUGACUGUCGAUUUUGGGUUUGGAUUGGAAUUGAAAGGAAGGAAGAAGUUGGGGCACUGGAUG
RNAcentral lists this unclassified non-coding RNA (262 nucleotides) under Hevea brasiliensis (rubber tree). Lineage: Eukaryota; Viridiplantae; Streptophyta; Magnoliopsida; Malpighiales; Euphorbiaceae. The record is from RNAcentral.